AAUAAGCGGAGGAAAAGAAACCAACAGGGAUUGCCUUAGUAGCGGCGAGUGAAGCGGCAAAAGCUCAAAUUUGAAAUCUGGCUCUUUCAGAGUCCGAGUUGUAAUUUGAAGAAGGUAUCUUUGGGCCUGGCUCUUGUCUAUGUUUCUUGGAACAGAACGUCACAGAGGGUGAGAAUCCCGUGCGAUGAGAUGACCCAGGUCCGUGUAAAGUUCCUUCGACGAGUCGAGUUGUUUGGGAAUGCAGCUCUAAGUGGGUGGUAAAUUCCAUCUAAAGCUAAAUAUUGGCGAGAGACCGAUAGCGAACAAGUACAGUGAUGGAAAGAUGAAAAGAACUUUGAAAAGAGAGUGAAAAAGUACGUGAAAUUGUUGAAAGGGAAGGGCUUGAGAUCAGACUUGGCAUUUUGCAUGUUGCUUCUUCGGGGGCGGCCUCUGCGGUUUGUCGGGCCAGCAUCAGUUUGGGCGGUAGGACAAUCGCGCGGGAAUGUGGCACGGCCUCGGCUGUGUGUUAUAGCCCGCGUGGAUACUGCCAGCCUAGACUGAGGACUGCGGUUUAUACCUAGGAUGUUGGCAUAAUGAUCUUAAGUCGCCCGUCUUG
RNAcentral lists this ribosomal RNA (595 nucleotides) under Candida viswanathii. Its description in RNAcentral is "eukaryotic LSU rRNA". It matches the Rfam family "Eukaryotic large subunit ribosomal RNA", at positions 45 to 656 of the family's 3401-position model. Lineage: Eukaryota; Fungi; Ascomycota; Pichiomycetes; Serinales; Debaryomycetaceae. The record is from RNAcentral.